RNAcentral lists this ribosomal RNA (271 nucleotides) under uncultured prokaryote. RNAcentral's name for it is "partial 16S ribosomal RNA". It matches the Rfam family "Bacterial small subunit ribosomal RNA", at positions 524 to 794 of the family's 1533-position model. The record is from RNAcentral.
UACGAAGGGUGCAAGCGUUACUCGGAAUUACUGGGCGUAAAGGGUGCGUAGGUGGUUCGUUAAGUCUGAUGUGAAAGCCCUGGGCUCAACCUGGGAAUUGCAUUGGAUACUGGCGGGCUAGAGUGCGGUAGAGGGUAGUGGAAUUCCCGGUGUAGCAGUGAAAUGCGUAGAUAUCGGGAGGAACAUCCGUGGCGAAGGCGACUGCCUGGACCAGCACUGACACUGAGGCACGAAAGCGUGGGGAGCAAACAGGAUUAGAUACCCCGUACGU